UACGAAGGGGGCUAGCGUUGCUCGGAAUCACUGGGCGUAAAGCGCACGUAGGCGGCUUGUUAAGUCAGGGGUGAAAUCCUGGAGCUCAACUCCAGAACUGCCUUCGAUACUGGCGACCUUGAGUCCGGGAGAGGUGAGUGGAACUCCGAGUGUAGAGGUGAAAUUCGUAGAUAUUCGGAAGAACACCAGUGGCGAAGGCGGCUCACUGGCCCGGUACUGACGCUGAGGUGCGAAAGCGUGGGGAGCAAACAGG
This 253-nucleotide ribosomal RNA is filed under the name uncultured bacterium. Its description in RNAcentral is "partial 16S ribosomal RNA". It matches the Rfam family "Bacterial small subunit ribosomal RNA", at positions 524 to 776 of the family's 1533-position model. The record is from RNAcentral.